This 898-nucleotide ribosomal RNA is filed under the name uncultured Acidobacteriota bacterium. Its description in RNAcentral is "bacterial SSU rRNA". It matches the Rfam family "Bacterial small subunit ribosomal RNA", at positions 8 to 918 of the family's 1533-position model. The record is from RNAcentral. Lineage: Bacteria; Pseudomonadati; Acidobacteriota.
AGAGUUUGAUCCUGGCUCAGAAUCAACGCBGGCGGCGUGCYUCAGACAUGCAAGUCGAACGAUUAAAGCUCCCYUUCGGGGAGUGCAUAGAGUGGCGCACGGGUGAGUAACACGUAAGUAAUCUACCCUCGGGUGGGGAAUACCGUUCGGAAACGAACGCUAAUACCGCAUAAUGCAGCGGCACCGCAAGGUGACAGUUGUUAAAGAUUUAUUGCCUGGGGAGGAGCUUGCGGCAGAUUAGCUAGUUGGUAAGGUAACGGCUUACCAAGGCUACGAUCUGUAUCCGGUCUAAGAGGACGGUCGGACACACUGACACUGAAUAACGGGUCAGACUCCUACGGGAGGCAGCAGUCGGGAAUUUUGGGCAAUGGGCGAAAGCCUGACCCAGCAACGCCGCGUGAAGGAUGAAGUAUUUCGGUAUGUAAACUUCGAAAGAAUAGGAAGAAUCAAUGACGGUACUAUUUAUAAGGUCCGGCUAACUACGUGCCAGCAGCCGCGGUAAUACGUAGGGACCCAGCGUUGUUCGGAUUUACUGGGCGUAAAGGGCGCGUAGGCGGCAUGACAAGUCACUUGUGAAAUUUCCGGGCUUAACUCGGAGCGGCCAAGUGAUACUGUCGCGCUAGAGCGCAGAAGGGGCAAUCGGAAUUCUUGGUGUAGCGGUGAAAUGCGUAGAUAUCAAGAGGAACACCUGAGGUGAAGACGGGUUGCUGGGCUGACACUGACGCUGAGGCGCGAAAGCCAGGGGAGCAAACGGGAUUAGAUACCCCGGUAGUCCUGGCCCUAAACGAUGAAUACUUGGUGUCUGGAGUUCCAAUACUCCGGGUGCCGUCGCUAACGUUUUUAGUAUUCCGCCUGGGGAGUACGCUCGCAAGAGUGAAACUCAAAUGAAUUGACGGGG